This 1017-nucleotide ribosomal RNA is filed under the name Pediococcus pentosaceus. RNAcentral describes it as "bacterial SSU rRNA". It matches the Rfam family "Bacterial small subunit ribosomal RNA", at positions 1 to 1011 of the family's 1533-position model. Lineage: Bacteria; Bacillati; Bacillota; Bacilli; Lactobacillales; Lactobacillaceae. The record is from RNAcentral.
AAAUACCAUAGGGCUAACUGCAGUCGAACGAACUUCCGUUAAUUGAUUAUGACGUACUUGUACUGAUUGAGAUUUUAACACGAAGUGAGUGGCGAACGGGUGAGUAACACGUGGGUAACCUGCCCAGAAGUAGGGGAUAACACCUGGAAACAGAUGCUAAUACCGUAUAACAGAGAAAACCGCAUGGUUUUCUUUUAAAAGAUGGCUCUGCUAUCACUUCUGGAUGGACCCGCGGCGUAUUAGCUAGUUGGUGAGGUAAAGGCUCACCAAGGCAGUGAUACGUAGCCGACCUGAGAGGGUAAUCGGCCACAUUGGGACUGAGACACGGCCCAGACUCCUACGGGAGGCAGCAGUAGGGAAUCUUCCACAAUGGACGCAAGUCUGAUGGAGCAACGCCGCGUGAGUGAAGAAGGGUUUCGGCUCGUAAAGCUCUGUUGUUAAAGAAGAACGUGGGUAAGAGUAACUGUUUACCCAGUGACGGUAUUUAACCAGAAAGCCACGGCUAACUACGUGCCAGCAGCCGCGGUAAUACGUAGGUGGCAAGCGUUAUCCGGAUUUAUUGGGCGUAAAGCGAGCGCAGGCGGUCUUUUAAGUCUAAUGUGAAAGCCUUCGGCUCAACCGAAGAAGUGCAUUGGAAACUGGGAGACUUGAGUGCAGAAGAGGACAGUGGAACUCCAUGUGUAGCGGUGAAAUGCGUAGAUAUAUGGAAGAACACCAGUGGCGAAGGCGGCUGUCUGGUCUGCAACUGACGCUGAGGCUCGAAAGCAUGGGUAGCGAACAGGAUUAGAUACCCUGGUAGUCCAUGCCGUAAACGAUGAUUACUAAGUGUUGGAGGGUUUCCGCCCUUCAGUGCUGCAGCUAACGCAUUAAGUAAUCCGCCUGGGGAGUACGACCGCAAGGUUGAAACUCAAAAGAAUUGACGGGGGCCCGCACAAGCGGUGGAGCAUGUGUUUAAUUCGAAGCUACGCGAAGAACCUUACCAGGUCUUGACAUCUUCUGACAGUCUAAGAGAUUAGA